RNAcentral lists this long non-coding RNA (397 nucleotides) under Olea europaea (common olive). RNAcentral describes it as "long non-coding RNA (OEUR_LNC009979)". Lineage: Eukaryota; Viridiplantae; Streptophyta; Magnoliopsida; Lamiales; Oleaceae. The record is from RNAcentral.
GCAGUUUACUUAUUUUGACGUCCUGAACGCACUGAUGUCGUUUGUUUUCUGUUUCAGAUUUUACAGAAAAAGUUGGACGAUUUUGCCCCUAGCUUGACGUCUACGGCAAUUUGGUUCAGAAACUUGGUGGUAUAUUUGCUGUUUGUCAACAGUAGUUUGGUAAGAUUAUUCCAAACUCUCCGUUAGGUUAAGUUUGGUAUCCUUACCGGUUUAUGCAUGGUUAUUGCUUGGUUGCUUAUUUGUGAAUUCUGUUGAUUGAAUUCUUGUGAUUAAUUUGUAACCUGGAAUCAUAUUUACCUGCUUUAUAUACCUGUGUUUCGUGAACGGAUUAUUUCACUGUUGUGCUUCAUUUCUAAAAAUUGUUUUUAAACUCGGUACUCAGUUUUAUAUUGAUCAU